This 468-nucleotide ribosomal RNA is filed under the name uncultured bacterium. Its description in RNAcentral is "partial 16S ribosomal RNA". It matches the Rfam family "Bacterial small subunit ribosomal RNA", at positions 28 to 507 of the family's 1533-position model. The record is from RNAcentral.
GACGAACGCUGGCGGCGUGCUUAACACAUGCAAGUCGAACGGAAAGGCCCUGCUUUUGUGGGGUGCUCGAGUGGCGAACGGGUGAGUAACACGUGAGUAACCUGCCCUUGACUUUGGGAUAACUUCAGGAAACUGGGGCUAAUACCGGAUAGGAGCUCCUGCUGCAUGGUGGGGGUUGGAAAGUUUCGGCGGUUGGGGAUGGACUCGCGGCUUAUCAGCUUGUUGGUGGGGUAGUGGCUUACCAAGGCUUUGACGGGUAGCCGGCCUGAGAGGGUGACCGGCCACAUUGGGACUGAGAUACGGCCCAGUCUCCUACGGGAGGCAGCAGUGGGGAAUAUUGCACAAUGGGCGGAAGCCUGAUGCAGCAACGCCGCGUGCGGGAUGACGACCUUCGGGUUGUAAACCGCUUUCGCCUGUGACGAAGCGUGAGUGACGGUAAUGGGUAAAGAAGCACCGGCUAACUACGUG